GUAGCUGAGGCUCAGUGGUAGAGCACUCGCCUCACAAGAGUGAGACUCUGUAUUCGAUCCUCAGCACCACA
This 71-nucleotide transfer RNA is filed under the name Marmota monax (woodchuck). RNAcentral describes it as "tRNA.Val". Lineage: Eukaryota; Metazoa; Chordata; Mammalia; Rodentia; Sciuridae. The record is from RNAcentral.